AGAGUUUGAUCAUGGCUCAGGACGAACGCUGGCGGCGUGCUUAACACAUGCAAGUCGAGCGGAAAGGCCCUUCGGGGUACUCGAGCGGCGAACGGGUGAGUAACACGUGAGCUACCUGCCCUUGGCUUUGGGAUAACCCUCGGAAACGGGGGCUAAUACCGGAUAUGCGUCUGCCUCCGCAUGGGGGUGGGUGGAAAGUUUUUCGGCCAGGGAUGGGCUCGCGGCCUAUCAGCUUGUUGGUGGGGUGAUGGCCUACCAAGGCGACGACGGGUAGCCGGCCUGAGAGGGCGACCGGCCACACUGGGACUGAGACACGGCCCAGACUCCUACGGGAGGCAGCAGUGGGGAAUAUUGCACAAUGGGCGAAAGCCUGAUGCAGCGACGCCGCGUGAGGGAUGACGGCCUUCGGGUUGUAAACCUCUUUCAGCAGGGACGAAGCGAGAGUGACGGUACCUGCAGAAGAAGCGCCGGCCAACUACGUGCCAGCAGCCGCGGUAAGACGUAGGGCGCGAGCGUUGUCCGGAUUUAUUGGGCGUAAAGAGCUCGUAGGCGGCUUGUCGCGUCGACUGUGAAAACCCGCGGCUCAACCGUGUGGUCUGCAGUCGAUACGGGCAGGCUAGAGUUCGGUAGGGGAGACUGGAAUUCCUGGUGUAGCGGUGAAAUGCGCAGAUAUCAGGAGGAACACCGGUGGCGAAGGCGGGUCUCUGGGCCGAUACUGACGCUGAGGAGCGAAAGCGUGGGGAGCGAACAGGAUUAGAUACCCCCGUAGUCC
Molecule: ribosomal RNA, 772 nt
Filed under: uncultured bacterium
Lineage: Bacteria
Description: bacterial SSU rRNA
Rfam family: Bacterial small subunit ribosomal RNA
Source: RNAcentral